This 246-nucleotide ribosomal RNA is filed under the name uncultured Actinomycetales bacterium. RNAcentral describes it as "partial 16S ribosomal RNA". It matches the Rfam family "Bacterial small subunit ribosomal RNA", at positions 86 to 334 of the family's 1533-position model. Lineage: Bacteria; Bacillati; Actinomycetota; Actinomycetes; Actinomycetales. The record is from RNAcentral.
AGUACUCGAGUGGCGAACGGGUGAGUAACACGUGGGUGAUCUGCCCUGCACUUCGGGAUAAGCCUGGGAAACUGGGUCUAAUACCGGAUAGGACCGCACUUUGGUGUGUGUGGUGGAAAGGUUUUUCUGGUGUGGGAUGAGCUCGCGGCCUAUCAGUUUGUUGGUGGGGUAAUGGCCUACCAAGACGGCGACGGGUAGCCGGCCUGAGAGGGUGGACGGUCACAUUGGGACUGAGAUACGGCCCAG